RNAcentral lists this ribosomal RNA (725 nucleotides) under uncultured bacterium. RNAcentral's name for it is "bacterial SSU rRNA". It matches the Rfam family "Bacterial small subunit ribosomal RNA", at positions 771 to 1501 of the family's 1533-position model. The record is from RNAcentral.
AACAGGAUUAGAUACCCUGGUAGUCCACGCCCUAAACGAUGUCUACUAGUUGUCGGGUCUUAAUUGACUUGGUAACGCAGCUAACGCGUGAAGUAGACCGCCUGGGGAGUACGGUCGCAAGAUUAAAACUCAAAGGAAUUGACGGGGACCCGCACAAGCGGUGGAUGAUGUGGAUUAAUUCGAUGCAACGCGAAAAACCUUACCUACCCUUGACAUGGCUGGAAUCCUUGAGAGAUCAGGGAGUGCCCGAAAGAGAACCAGUACACAGGUGCUGCAUGGCUGUCGUCAGCUCGUGUCGUGAGAUGUUGGGUUAAGUCCCGCAACGAGCGCAACCCUUGUCAUUAGUUGCUACGAAAGGGCACUCUAAUGAGACUGCCGGUGACAAACCGGAGGAAGGUGGGGAUGACGUCAAGUCCUCAUGGCCCUUAUGGGUAGGGCUUCACACGUCAUACAAUGGUACAUACAGAGCGCCGCCAACCCGCGAGGGGGAGCUAAUCGCAGAAAGUGUAUCGUAGUCCGGAUUGUAGUCUGCAACUCGACUGCAUGAAGUUGGAAUCGCUAGUAAUCGCGGAUCAGCAUGUCGCGGUGAAUACGUUCCCGGGUCUUGUACACACCGCCCGUCACACCAUGGGAGCGGGUUUUACCAGAAGUAGGUAGCUUAACCGUAAGGAGGGCGCUUACCACGGUAGGAUUCGUGACUGGGGUGAAGUCGUAACAAGGUAACC